Molecule: ribosomal RNA, 253 nt
Filed under: uncultured bacterium
Lineage: Bacteria
Description: partial 16S ribosomal RNA
Rfam family: Bacterial small subunit ribosomal RNA
Source: RNAcentral
UACGUAGGGUGCAAGCGUUGUCCGGAAUUAUUGGGCGUAAAGAGCUCGUAGGCGGUUCGUCGCGUCGGCUGUGAAAUCCCGAGGCUCAACCUCGGGUCUGCAGUCGAUACGGGCGGACUGGAGUACUGCAGGGGAGACUGGAAUUCCUGGUGUAGCGGUGAAAUGCGCAGAUAUCAGGAGGAACACCGGUGGCGAAGGCGGCUCGCUGGGCCGGUCCUGACGCUCAGGCGCGAAAGCGUGGGGAGCGAACGGG